Molecule: ribosomal RNA, 120 nt
Filed under: uncultured bacterium
Lineage: Bacteria
Description: partial 16S ribosomal RNA
Rfam family: Bacterial small subunit ribosomal RNA
Source: RNAcentral
CACGCGGUAAACGAUGAUUGCUAGGUGUAGGUGGGUAUGGACCCAUCGGUGCCGCAGCUAACGCAAUAAGCAAUCCACCUGGGGAGUACGUUCGCAAGAAUGAAACUCAAAGGAAUUGAC